GAAAUCAGCAACUCCAUUUUACUUCGACCAUAGGUUCCGGGAACAAGCUUCUCUAGUCAUGAGUCAACAACAGAGUAUCCAGAUUUGGGACUCUGAUUCGAAACAAGCGUCUCGACAUGAGACUAUUAGCAUGAUCGAUGAAUAAAGGUUUUGUGUAUUAUCAUAAGGAGGAGAAGCUAUUCGUUUACUGGGCAAGGACUCCCUCGGGGCGUGACAGUCUUGCAGUGAGAGACAUUUUAGUGUGAUUAUCACAACCAACCCAUAAUGGUUCAUUUGUAACACUCAACACUUUCUGAAAUUGGAGAUAUGUUUCAUCAACAUAUGGUACUUCUACCUCCUCCAACAGUGAUGUAUAAGUAAUAAAUAUUUGUUCAACUCUUGGAUGACAACUAGAACUUGGACCAUGCAUUUUGGGAAUAAAA
Zingiber officinale is the source of this 422-nucleotide long non-coding RNA. RefSeq lists it as uncharacterized. The transcript has 3 exons. Lineage: Eukaryota; Viridiplantae; Streptophyta; Magnoliopsida; Zingiberales; Zingiberaceae. The record is from RefSeq and is a predicted model, not a curated record.